RNAcentral lists this ribosomal RNA (253 nucleotides) under uncultured bacterium. RNAcentral describes it as "partial 16S ribosomal RNA". It matches the Rfam family "Bacterial small subunit ribosomal RNA", at positions 524 to 776 of the family's 1533-position model. The record is from RNAcentral.
UACGAAGGGGGCUAGCGUUGUUCGGAAUUACUGGGCGUAAAGCGCGCGCAGGCGGUUUUUCAAGUCAGUGGUGAAAGCCCGGAGCUCAACUCCGGAAAUGCCAUUGAAACUGCAAAACUUGAGGACGAGAGAGGUGAGUGGAAUUCCCAGUGUAGAGGUGAAAUUCGUAGAUAUUGGGAAGAACACCGGUGGCGAAGGCGGCCAACUGGUCCGGUACUGACGCUGAGGUGCGAAAGCGUGGGGAGCAAACAGG